RNAcentral lists this ribosomal RNA (440 nucleotides) under uncultured bacterium. Its description in RNAcentral is "partial 16S ribosomal RNA". It matches the Rfam family "Bacterial small subunit ribosomal RNA", at positions 338 to 795 of the family's 1533-position model. The record is from RNAcentral.
CCUACGGGAGGCAGCAGUGGGGAAUAUUGCACAAUGGGGGAAACCCUGAUGCAGCGACGCCGCGUGAGUGAAGAAGUAUUUCGGUACGUAAAGAUCUAUCAGCAGGGAAGAAAAUGACGGUACCUGACUAAGAAGCCCCGGCUAACUACGUGCCAGCAGCAGCGGUAAUACGUAGGGGGCAAGCGUUAUCCGGAUUUACUGGGUGUAAAGGGAGCGUAGACGGCAGCGCAAGUCUGGAGUGAAAUCCCAUGGCUUAACCAUGGAACUGCUUUGGAAACUGUGCAGCUAGAGUGCAGGAGAGGUAAGCGGAAUUCCUAGUGUAGCGGUGAAAUGCGUAGAUAUUAGGAGGAACACCAGUGGCGAAGGCGGCUUACUGGACUGUAACUGACGUUGAGGCUCGAAAGCGUGGGGAGCAAACAGGAUUAGAUACCCGAGUAGUC